Molecule: ribosomal RNA, 458 nt
Filed under: uncultured fungus
Lineage: Eukaryota; Fungi
Description: eukaryotic LSU rRNA
Rfam family: 5.8S ribosomal RNA (bases 1-128)
Source: RNAcentral
CUCGCAUCGAUGAAGAACGCAGCGAAAUGCGAUACGUAAUGUGAAUUGCAGAAUUCCGUGAAUCAUUGAAUCUUUGAACGCACCUUGCACCCCUUGGUAGUCCGAGGGGCAUGCCUGUUUGAGUGUCGUUGAUCUUUCUCUUGUCAACUUGACCUGCCACUCUUGUGGUUGGUUGGGCUUGGAAACUGGAGUGUGCCGGCAAGGUUCGGCUCCUCUAAAAGUCAUUGGCGAACAACUGGUUUUGUGCUGUGGCAUUGAUAGUCCCUCCGAUCUUCUAUGCCUUGCCCACAAUGGUCAGUGUUUGCAUAAUGAUCAUCCCUCGGGAGAUCACUUUCUCUCCAACAAUCACCUCAAAUCAGGUAGGAUUACCCGCUGAACUUAAGCAUAUCAAUAAGCGGAGGAAAAGAAACUAACAAGGAUUCCCCUAGUAACUGCGAGUGAAGAGGGAAAAGCUCAAA